Long non-coding RNA from Drosophila ficusphila, 803 nucleotides. RefSeq lists it as uncharacterized. The record is from RefSeq and is a predicted model, not a curated record. Lineage: Eukaryota; Metazoa; Arthropoda; Insecta; Diptera; Drosophilidae. The transcript has 3 exons.
UGUCUUUUUCUGCCAAACCGAUACUCACAUGAGGUUUCCGAUUUCUAGCCAUUCCAUUCUCGGCCUUUGUCUCGACUACUUCUAAACUUCUUGUUUUGUCUUAAAUUAUUGUUUGUUCGGCUUCAAAUCCGUACGUGUUAACCAUGUGUUGCGGACCUUGUGGACCGUGCUGCGGCCCCUGUGGACCCUGCUGUGGCCCGUGCAGACCCUGCUGUGGCCCUUGCCGACCUUGUUGUAGCCCUUGUGGAUCCUGCUGCGGGCCUUGCCGACCUUGUGGGCCGUGCUGCGGUCCCUUUGGCACGUGCUGUGGAGGCUGUUGGUGCUAAAUGCACCUCGAAACCUAUUUGUUGCUUCCGGAUCCUACAACACCUUGCACUCGACAGCCACAAAUAAUAAGCUAAGAUAAAACAUUAGUAACAAAAAUGAAGCACAAUCUUUUUCCCCCGAUUCGUUCUGCAAUGUGCUUGGCAGCCCCAAAUUCAAUAUCAAAAUAAAAUUCGAGAUCAAAGAACGUCACUUAUUUGGGUCAAUUAUCUUUGAAUUAGUUUGUGAGAUAUGACAAUAAAAACGAGCAAGGAAGCUGGCUUCGGUUCGCCCAAGCUUCUAUAGUAUACUUUUGCAGUUAUUAAGUUAUGAUAUAGUCGUCCGAUCUUAAUGAAGUUAAUUUAUUUAUUUUAGACUUUCUUAUAAAGUGGGUUCUUUUAAAGCAAAAGUAUAGAAAGUUAUGUAUUAGUAGCAAAGGGCAAGUUAUUAACUUUCUGAUCUUUUUCAAAAUUUCGGGUUUCUAGGGUCAACACCAACGU